UACGUAGGUCCCGAGCGUUGUCCGGAUUUAUUGGGCGUAAAGCGAGCGCAGGUGUUUAUUAAGUCUGGUGUAAAAGGCAGUGGCUCAACCAUUGUAUGCAUUGGAAACUGGUAGACUUGAGUGCAGGAGAGGAGAGUGGAAUUCCAUGUGUAGCGGUGAAAUGCGUAGAUAUAUGGAGGAACACCGGUGGCGAAAGCGGCUCUCUGGCCUGUAACUGACACUGAGGCUCGAAAGCGUGGGGAGCAAACAGG
RNAcentral lists this ribosomal RNA (251 nucleotides) under uncultured bacterium. RNAcentral's name for it is "partial 16S ribosomal RNA". It matches the Rfam family "Bacterial small subunit ribosomal RNA", at positions 524 to 776 of the family's 1533-position model. The record is from RNAcentral.